Molecule: long non-coding RNA, 539 nt
Filed under: Gallus gallus (chicken)
Lineage: Eukaryota; Metazoa; Chordata; Aves; Galliformes; Phasianidae
Source: RNAcentral
CUUUGAGCCAAGCUGUUUGCUAGUGGGUAGCGGGUGGGUGACAUCUUCCCAUUGAAUGCAGACAACCUCUCGUUACUCUCCCUCCCAUUCUGAUUAGUAGUGCAAGGCUGUGGGGAGGUGUCGUAACUGUUGCUUGGUGAUGGGGACAUCCCAGAAUGCUGGGUCUGUGUUGAAGCUGUGGCUGUCGAGGAAGAUGCUGGGACGUUGUUGGUACUGUUGCUGUAGGAACCACCUCCAUAGCUAGACCUUCUUCCAAAUUUGUCACUAUGCUCUUGAUCAAGACGAUCCAAGGUUUCCAGCGCAUGGAGGAUUUCAUGUCUGGUCAUUCCUGUACGUCUCAGGCGCUGAAGCAGGUCUAUCUGCUCUAUGGUAAAUCUUGGUUCGUCUGUGUAGUGAGACAUGGUUUCCAGCAGGACUACUGGAAAAGUUCUGAGCAUACUUUACAUGGGGAUGGGACGUUAUAAAGCCUCUUGGGGGUCUUCAGUGUUAUUCACCAUUCCAGCCUGAGGGGACUCCGCCGCCGCGAGUUCGUCCUCCCC